Molecule: non-coding RNA, 27 nt
Filed under: Rattus norvegicus (Norway rat)
Lineage: Eukaryota; Metazoa; Chordata; Mammalia; Rodentia; Muridae
Source: RNAcentral
UGCCUAUGCAGUUUUUAGGCACUGGGG